Molecule: long non-coding RNA, 169 nt
Organism: Rosa chinensis
Lineage: Eukaryota; Viridiplantae; Streptophyta; Magnoliopsida; Rosales; Rosaceae
Exons: 3
Source: RefSeq, a predicted model, not a curated record
AAAUUUCGAAAUUGCAGGAGGGUGCAAUUGGAGAAGGCACAAACAGCUGAUCCUCUCUGGAAGGCCUCCCAAUUUGAGAUGGUUCAUUACGGGAAGAUGCAUGGUUUUAUGCGGAUGUAUUGGGCAAAAAAGAUCCUUGAGUGGACAAGAGGACCUGAAGAUGCCUUGA